UUUCCCCUGCCGCGUUCGACACUGGUUGCAUUUUUUUGAACCAAUAAAUUUCGAACGGGGGUUGUCUUGAGCCGCGAGUUGCGCAGACCCGGCGUAAAAACCGGAGAGCCUGAAAGCGGAUGCCGAUAGCUCCCACCUGGUAAUCCAGGUUCAAAAAUAUGGGCUGGAACGGCGCAUGGCGGGGGGAGU
This 189-nucleotide non-coding RNA is filed under the name Nitrospinota bacterium. Its description in RNAcentral is "6S RNA". It matches the Rfam family "6S / SsrS RNA". Rfam says of the family: E. coli 6S RNA was the first non coding RNA to be sequenced, but its function was unknown until recently. Lineage: Bacteria; Pseudomonadati; Nitrospinota. The record is from RNAcentral.